Molecule: non-coding RNA, 505 nt
Organism: Peromyscus maniculatus bairdii (prairie deer mouse)
Lineage: Eukaryota; Metazoa; Chordata; Mammalia; Rodentia; Cricetidae
Source: RefSeq, a predicted model, not a curated record
CGCGGCAGGCAGCCGCCGCCACAGAGGUCAGCUGUGGGCAGAGAUGUAGCAAAGGCAGUAAGUAGCAGGCAUUUGGCUGAGUCCAGAGGCCCAGAAGGCCAAGCAGCGCUGGACCUGGCUACCACUGCCUGAGCCAGUGAACACUUCUGCUCAAUGGGGACAGCUGUUUCCAGUGAGAACCCCUCCACGCUGCAACAGGAGGAGGGAUUUAUGUUGAGGCGUGCAUUCCAAUGGCAAGAAUCCUAAGAAAUUAGACUCUAUUACUAAAAGCAUCUUUCUUGUUGCAAAUUUUGGGGGAGAGGCAAUAGGGCCAGCUCACUGCUGAAGUGAAGCAAGCCUUGCCUUUUUUCCCCAGCCACGUCAAUCAUGGGGAGAGAAUAACUACCCUCUGUUAUGACUAUCAAACUUGGGUGUAACUGUAUAUAUAUCCCAUCAUUGCUAUGCAGGUGGCCAGACAUUGUCUCAGUCGGUUAUAAAAGGCAUAGCAAUAAACAAGUGGCCUCCA